UACAGAGGUGGCAAGCGUUGUUCGGAAUUACUGGGCGUAAAGGGCGCGUAGGCGGCCAUCUAAGUCAGACGUGAAAUCCCCCGGCUUAACCUGGGAACUGCGUCUGAUACUGGAAGGCUUGAGUAUGGGAGAGGGAUGUAGAAUUCCAGGUGUAGCGGUGAAAUGCGUAGAUAUCUGGAGGAAUACCGGUGGCGAAGGCGGCGACCUGGGUAGAUACUGACGCUGAGGCGCGAAAGCGUGGGGAGCAAACAGG
RNAcentral lists this ribosomal RNA (253 nucleotides) under uncultured bacterium. RNAcentral's name for it is "partial 16S ribosomal RNA". It matches the Rfam family "Bacterial small subunit ribosomal RNA", at positions 524 to 776 of the family's 1533-position model. The record is from RNAcentral.